UACGUAGGGGGCUAGCGUUGUCCGGAAUCAUUGGGCGUAAAGAGCGUGUAGGCGGCCCGGUAAGUCCGCUGUGAAAGUCGGGGGCUCAACCCUCGAAUGCCGGUGGAUACUGUCGGGCUAGAGUGCGGAAGAGGCGAGUGGAAUUCCCGGUGUAGCGGUGAAAUGCGCAGAUAUCGGGAGGAACACCAAUGGCGAAGGCAGCUCGCUGGGACGGUACUGACGCUGAGACGCGAAAGCGUGGGGAGCAAACAGGAUUAGAAACCCGCGUAGUCC
This 273-nucleotide ribosomal RNA is filed under the name uncultured bacterium. Its description in RNAcentral is "partial 16S ribosomal RNA". It matches the Rfam family "Bacterial small subunit ribosomal RNA", at positions 524 to 796 of the family's 1533-position model. The record is from RNAcentral.